AUGGAUGAUGAUACACAUUGGGCUCCGAGCAGCGAACAUCGCUGCAAUCUGAUGGAGAUGUAUUUGCCUAGAAAGCAUUGUCUGACGG
Small nucleolar RNA from Triticum dicoccoides, 88 nucleotides. Lineage: Eukaryota; Viridiplantae; Streptophyta; Magnoliopsida; Poales; Poaceae. The record is from RefSeq and is a predicted model, not a curated record.